This 497-nucleotide ribosomal RNA is filed under the name uncultured bacterium. Its description in RNAcentral is "partial 16S ribosomal RNA". It matches the Rfam family "Bacterial small subunit ribosomal RNA", at positions 28 to 507 of the family's 1533-position model. The record is from RNAcentral.
GAUGAACGCUGGCGGCGUGCCUAAUACAUGCAAGUCGAGCGAACGGACGAGAAGCUUGCUUCUCUGAUGUUAGCGGCGGACGGGUGAGUAACACGUGGAUAACCUACCUAUAAGACUGGGAUAACUUCGGGAAACCGGAGCUAAUACCGGAUAAUAUUUUGAACCGCAUGGUUCAAAAGUGAAAGACGGUCUUGCUGUCACUUAUAGAUGGAUCCGCGCUGCAUUAGCUAGUUGGUAAGGUAACGGCUUACCAAGGCAACGAUGCAUAGCCGACCUGAGAGGGUGAUCGGCCACACUGGAACUGAGACACGGUCCAGACUCCUACGGGAGACAGCAGCAGGGAAUCUUCCGCAAUGGGCGAAAGCCUGACGGAGCAACGCCGCGUGAGUGAUGAAGGUCUUCGGAUCGUAAAACUCUGUUAUUAGGGAAGAACAUAUGUGUAAGUAACUGUGCACAUCUUGACGGUACCUAAUCAGAAAGCCACGGCUAACUACGUG